RNAcentral lists this RNase P RNA (500 nucleotides) under Niveibacterium sp. 24ML. RNAcentral describes it as "RNase P RNA component class A". It matches the Rfam family "Bacterial RNase P class A". From Rfam's summary of the family: Ribonuclease P (RNase P) is a ubiquitous endoribonuclease, found in archaea, bacteria and eukarya as well as chloroplasts and mitochondria. Its best characterised activity is the generation of mature 5'-ends of tRNAs by cleaving the 5'-leader elements of precursor-tRNAs. The record is from RNAcentral. Lineage: Bacteria; Pseudomonadati; Pseudomonadota; Betaproteobacteria; Rhodocyclales; Rhodocyclaceae.
GAAGUCCGCCAGGCAGUCGCGGUACCGCAAGGUAUCGAGGAAAGUCCGGGCCCCGCAGGGCAGAAUGCCGGCUAACGGCCGGGCGCUAUAAGCCGAAAGGCCCAAGGCGACGGAAAGUGCAACAGAGAGCAGACCGCCGAUGGCCCGACGAGACCAGUCAUCAUUCGUCGCGAGCGGUUCGGCGUGGUGUCGAGUCGCGCAGUCGUACGCAAGUACGGUGAGCAACGCAGGCGCCACGACGGAUCGCGCAGCAGAUUGAUGGCUGCGUCGAGGAUCAGGUAAGGGUGAAACGGUGGGGUAAGAGCCCACCGCGGACGUGGUGACACGGACGGCACGGUAAACCCCAUUCGGGGCAAGGCCAAAUAGGGGAGCGUUGAGGCGGCCCGCUGAGCUCCCGGGUAGGCUGCUAGAGCUUCGCAGCAAUGCGUCGACCAGAGGAAUGACUGCCCCGCCAUCGCAAGGUGGCGCGACAGAACCCGGCUUAUCGGCGGACUUCCACU